UACCAAUGAUGGUGACACUAAUAGAAUGUGUACUAAAAAUGGAGGGAAAGUUGCAGGUGACUGUAAUAAAGGAAUAAGCAGCAGGAACCAGAUAUCAUUCUAAAUGGAGCAGAGGAGGUACCGUCAAGGAUCUCAAGUCCUUUUUUGUG
Molecule: long non-coding RNA, 149 nt
Organism: Amphimedon queenslandica
Lineage: Eukaryota; Metazoa; Porifera; Demospongiae; Haplosclerida; Niphatidae
Exons: 3
Source: RefSeq, a predicted model, not a curated record